ACGUAGACGCUAUUCCCUAAGAUUAACCCAUGCAUGUUUUUGACAUUUGAAAAAUGGACUGCUCAGUAAUACUCACUUUAUUUUAUGUAAAUUUUUAAUUAACUACGUUAAAGUGUAGAUAAGAUGUUUACAGUAAGAGUGAGACCUAUCAGCUAGUUGUUAAGGUAAUGGCUUAACAAGGCUGUGACGGGUAACGGUAUUACUUUGUAAUAUUCCGGAGAAGGAGCCUGAGAGACGGCUACUAAGUCUAAGGAUUGCAGCAGGGGCGAAACUUGACCUAUGGAUUUUAUCUGAGGCAGUUAUGGGAAGUAAUAUUAUAUUGUUUCAUAUUUUAAAAGUAUAUGAGGUGAUUAAUUGGAGGGCAAAUCAAGUGCCAGCAGCCGCGGUAAUACUUGUUCCAAGAGUGUGUAUGAUGAUUGAUGCAGUUAAAAAGUCCGUAGUUUAUUUUUUUAAGAAGCAAUAUGAGGUGUACUGUAUAGUUGGGAGAAAGAUGAAAUGUGACGACCCUGACUGGACGAACAGAAGCGAAAGCUGUACACUUGUAUGUAUUUUUUGAACAAGGACGUAAGCUGGAGGAGCGAAGAUGAUUAGAUACCAUUGUAGUUCCAGCAGUAAACUAUGCCGACGAUGUGAUAUGAAAAUGUUAAUUUGUAUUACAUAAUAGAAAUUUGAGUUUUUUGGCUCUGGGGAUAGUAUGAUCGCAAGAUUGAAAAUUAAAGAAAUUGACGGAAGAAUACCACAAGGAGUGGAUUGUGCGGCUUAAUUUGACUCAACGCGAGGUAACUUACCAAUAUUUUAUUAUUUUGAUAGAACGGUUUUUUGUUUGAGAAUGAUAAUAGUGGUGCAUGGCCGUUUUCAAUGGAUGCUGUGAAGUUUUGAUUAAUUUCAACAAGACGUGAGACCCUUAUUUUUUAUUAAAGACAGACACAAUCAGUGUAGGAAGGAAAGGAUUAAAACAGGUCCGUUAUGCCCUCUGACAUUUUGGGCUGCACGCGCAAUACAAUAGAUAUAUAAUCUUUAUGGGAUAAUAUUUUGUAAGAGAUAUUUGAACUUGGAAUUGCUAGUAAAUUUUAUUAAAUAAGUAGAAUUGAAUGUGUCCCUGUUCUU
RNAcentral lists this ribosomal RNA (1107 nucleotides) under Vairimorpha ceranae. Its description in RNAcentral is "SSU rRNA". It matches the Rfam family "Microsporidia small subunit ribosomal RNA", at positions 21 to 1183 of the family's 1311-position model. Lineage: Eukaryota; Fungi; Microsporidia; Nosematidae. The record is from RNAcentral.